UCGACUUUGUCGAAUAUCGAUAGAUUAGUAUUGCAGCUAAUUUCAUGUGACAACAAAUACAUUUGGACAGCCUGAGAAGCAAAUAUUUGUGGGAAUUAUCCAACAGUAACGGCCUCGAAAAUAGUUAAUGAAUUGAAAAACUGAAAGUGAAAUGAAGCUAUAAGUGUGGAGCAUGGCCAAAGCCUGUACAAUCAACUUGCGUGAAUUACAUUUAGAGGCUGUAAAUGCGAUAAUAUUUAUGAAAAUUUUAAAUAAAAUGUAUAUUGUGAACUAAAAGAUUAUAAUUUAAAUAAAUACAAUUUUAAGGUUUUCCGAUCCCGCUGAUAAA
This is a long non-coding RNA of Bactrocera neohumeralis, 328 nucleotides long. RefSeq lists it as uncharacterized. The transcript has 2 exons. The record is from RefSeq and is a predicted model, not a curated record. Lineage: Eukaryota; Metazoa; Arthropoda; Insecta; Diptera; Tephritidae.